UUGCUGUGUUCGUGUUGCCUAAGGGAACCUACUAUUAGACCAAACUCUCCCCAGGCGUGUGCCUUGCUCACAGGCUAACUGAUCACUUGAUGUCACCUCUCACUUUUAGCAGGCAGGCAGAACACAGGCACUUGAUAGGACAUGCUGUGCUCCAGCUCCGUGAGACCUGUUCAUCUCCUAUCCUCUAACAACAGAGAACUAUUUAUAGUGCUUCGGUCUGGAGUGGCAUCAACAGUUUUCAUAUGUGCUUCCAUUUGUGUGACAGACAGCACAGAGGUGAAUCUGAACAACUUGCCCAUUGUCACUCACCACACUGAGCACAUCUUGCCUGAUUUACAUGACACAGGAAACCACAGAAUGAUUUGGGAAGUACUGCAGAACUGCUCUCUGCAAAACUGGUUUGAAGUGAGAAAAGAAAAAUAUUACAUCCAUUGGCAAUUUGCAGCAGCUAUGCAUGAGAAAAAUAGCGUUAGUUGUAAGUGUGUCACACCGACAUCUUGUGGUGAAACAGGAAAACAGCUGCUCAAAUAAAAGACUCCAGUCUGAAAUACUGGC
RNAcentral lists this long non-coding RNA (555 nucleotides) under Meleagris gallopavo (turkey). RNAcentral describes it as "lncRNA (ENSMGAG00000017884.1)". The record is from RNAcentral. Lineage: Eukaryota; Metazoa; Chordata; Aves; Galliformes; Phasianidae.